GUGAGUCAUCGAAUCUUUGAACGCACAUUGCGCCCGCCAGUAUUCUGGCGGGCAUGCCUGUUCGAGCGUCAUUUCAACCCUCAAGCCCCAGCGGCCUGGUGUUGGGGACCGGCGACCUCGCUGACGCCCUUCUUGGGGCCCAGCGUCCGCCGCCCCCGAAAUGAAUUGGCGGUCUCGUCGCGGCCUCCUCUGCGUAGUAGCACAACCUCGCAACAGGAGCGCGACGCGGCCACUGCCGUAAAACGCCCAACUUUUUUAGAGUUGACCUCGGAUCAGGUAGGAAUACCCGCUGAACUUAAGCAUAUCAAUAAGCGGAGGA
Molecule: unclassified non-coding RNA, 319 nt
Filed under: Pochonia sp.
Lineage: Eukaryota; Fungi; Ascomycota; Sordariomycetes; Hypocreales; Clavicipitaceae
Description: partial contains 5.8S ribosomal RNA, internal transcribed spacer 2, and large subunit ribosomal RNA
Rfam family: 5.8S ribosomal RNA (bases 1-71)
Source: RNAcentral